UACGUAGGGUGCGAGCGUUGUCCGGAAUUACUGGGCGUAAAGAGUUCGUAGGCGGUUUGUCGCGUCGUUCGUGAAACUUGGGGCUUAACUCCAAGCGUGCGGGCGAUACGGGCCAGACUUGAGUACUACAGGGGAGACUGGAAUUCCUGGUGUAGCGGUGAAAUGCGCAGAUAUCAGGAGGAACACCGGUGGCGAAGGCGGGUCUCUGGGUAGUAACUGACGCUGAGGAACGAAAGCGUGGGUAGCGAACAGG
This 253-nucleotide ribosomal RNA is filed under the name uncultured bacterium. Its description in RNAcentral is "partial 16S ribosomal RNA". It matches the Rfam family "Bacterial small subunit ribosomal RNA", at positions 524 to 776 of the family's 1533-position model. The record is from RNAcentral.